This 459-nucleotide ribosomal RNA is filed under the name uncultured bacterium. Its description in RNAcentral is "partial 16S ribosomal RNA". It matches the Rfam family "Bacterial small subunit ribosomal RNA", at positions 338 to 795 of the family's 1533-position model. The record is from RNAcentral.
CCUACGGGUGGCAGCAGUGAGGAAUAUUGGUCAAUGGGAGAGAUCCUGAACCAGCCAAGCCGCGUGAGGGAAGACGGCCCUCUGGGUUGUCAACCUCUUUUGUCGGAGAACAAAACCCGGGACGUGUACCGGACUGCGUGUAUCCGAAGAAAAAGCAUCGGCUAACUCCGUGCCAGCAGCCGCGGUAAUAAGGAGGAUGCGAGGGGUAUCCGGAUGUAUUGGGUUUAAGGGGUGCGUGGGCGGUCCGUUAAGUCAGCGGUAAAAUUGCGGGGCUCAACCCCGUCGAGCCGUUGAAACUGGCAGACUUGAGUUGGCGAGAGGUACGCGGAAUGCGAGGUGUAGCGGUGAAAUGCAUAGAGAUCGCGCAGAAUUCCGAUAGCGAAGGCAGCGGACCGGCGCCAGACUGACGCUGAGGCACGAAAGCGUGGGGAUCGAACAGGAUUAGAUACCCCGGUAGUC